RNAcentral lists this ribosomal RNA (468 nucleotides) under uncultured bacterium. RNAcentral describes it as "partial 16S ribosomal RNA". It matches the Rfam family "Bacterial small subunit ribosomal RNA", at positions 28 to 507 of the family's 1533-position model. The record is from RNAcentral.
GACGAACGCUGGCGGCGUGCUUAACACAUGCAAGUCGAACGGAAAGGCCCUGCUUUUGUGGGGUGCUCGAGUGGCGAACGGGUGAGUAACACGUGAGUAACCUGCCCUUGACUUUGGGAUAACUUCAGGAAACUGGGGCUAAUACCGGAUAGGAGCUCCUGCUGCAUGGUGGGGGUUGGAAAGUUUCGGCGGUUGGGGAUGGACUCGCGGCUUAUCAGCUUGUUGGUGGGGUAGUGGCUUACCAAGGCUUUGACGGGUAGCCGGCCUGAGAGGGUGACCGGCCCCCUUGGGGCUGAGAUACGGGCCCGACUCCUACGGGAGGCAGCAGUGGGGAAUAAUGCACCAUGGGCGGAAGCCUGAUGCAGCAACGCCGCGUGCGGGAUGACGGCCUUCGGGUUGUAAACCGCUUUCGCCUGUGACCGAGCGUGAGUGACGGUAAUGGGUAAAGAAGCACCGGCUAACUACGUG